RNAcentral lists this ribosomal RNA (823 nucleotides) under Paramyrothecium sp. Its description in RNAcentral is "eukaryotic LSU rRNA". It matches the Rfam family "Eukaryotic large subunit ribosomal RNA", at positions 74 to 931 of the family's 3401-position model. Lineage: Eukaryota; Fungi; Ascomycota; Sordariomycetes; Hypocreales; Stachybotryaceae. The record is from RNAcentral.
AUUGCCUCAGUAACGGCGAGUGAAGCGGCAACAGCUCAAAUUUGAAAUCUGGCCCCAGGCCCGAGUUGUAAUUUGCAGAGGAUGCUUUUGGUGAGGUGCCUUCCGAGUUCCCUGGAACGGGACGCCAUAGAGGGUGAGAGCCCCGUCUGGUCGGACACCGAGCCUCUGUAAAGCUCCUUCGACGAGUCGAGUAGUUUGGGAAUGCUGCUCUAAAUGGGAGGUAUAUGUCUUCUAAAGCUAAAUACCGGCCAGAGACCGAUAGCGCACAAGUAGAGUGAUCGAAAGAUGAAAAGCACUUUGAAAAGAGAGUUAAAUAGCACGUGAAAUUGUUGAAAGGGAAGCGUUUAUGACCAGACUUGGCCCGGUUGAUCAUCCAGCGUUCUCGCUGGUGCACUCUGCCGGUCCAGGCCAGCAUCAGUUCGUCGCGGGGGAUAAAGGUUUCGGGAAUGUGGCUCCUCCGGGAGUGUUAUAGCCCGUUGCGUAAUACCCUGCGGUGGACUGAGGUCCGCGCUUCUGCAAGGAUGCUGGCGUAAUGGUCAUCAACGACCCGUCUUGAAACACGGACCAAGGAGUCGUCUUCGUAUGCGAGUGUUCGGGUGUAAAACCCCUACGCGUAAUGAAAGUGAACGCAGGUGAGAGCUUCGGCGCAUCAUCGACCGAUCCUGAUGUUCUCGGAUGGAUUUGAGUAAGAGCAUACGGGGCCGGACCCGAAAGAAGGUGAACUAUGCCUGUAUAGGGUGAAGCCAGAGGAAACUCUGGUGGAGGCUCGCAGCGGUUCUGACGUGCAAAUCGAUCGUCAAAUAUGGGCAUGGGGGCGAAAGAC